AUCUAAAAGAACAAAAAAGAGAGAGAGAGAGAAAAGUAAAUUAAUCAACAAACUUUAAGGUAAAAGAAAACUGAAUCAAUUUAGUUAACCAAACAGCAACCACAACGAAAGCAAAACAAAACUGAUCGCCUUAGGGGAGUCUCGAUUAUCCCACAAGGGGGCAGAUUAAUCUCUUUGGUAAUUGUUUGAAAUGAAUUAGUUUUAUUGAUUAUUUUCUAUUUUGUCUAAACAAUUAAAUUAAAUUUUCUAAUCAGAUCAAUUAAAUGGUUCACUUAAACUUCAAUCGUGUAUUUGUUGUCUCAGUCUAAGCUUUUUGGAUGGAUACGUUUACCUAGUCGCUGAAUUUUAAAUUUGGCAAAUCAGGAUUAAAAAUGACGAUUAAAUAAAUUAUCGCUGCCGCUGUAAGGUCAUUUCUCCAUCGGUCAGGAUACGUUUGGAUAAUAUUGACAAUAUUAUCAUGUAGAAUUGGAUCCAAUCGGUAAAUUUCCCUCCUAUCAACUUUUUUACCUGAGGCCUUAAAUAUUGUCAAGAAACAAAAGAACUUGUUAACUAAUUGGCCUAAGAGUUACAAAGGAAAAUAGAAAUGAAAAUAAAUGUUAACACUCACGUUCCAACUAUCGGUUAGAUGAUCGUAGGUGAUGAUACUCUUCAUGGCGAUUGUAUCAAAAAAGACAUUG
Long non-coding RNA from Panonychus citri (citrus red mite), 677 nucleotides. RefSeq lists it as uncharacterized. The transcript has 3 exons. NCBI's taxonomy places the organism in Eukaryota, Metazoa, Arthropoda, Arachnida, Trombidiformes, Tetranychidae. The record is from RefSeq and is a predicted model, not a curated record.